RNAcentral lists this ribosomal RNA (447 nucleotides) under uncultured bacterium. RNAcentral's name for it is "partial 16S ribosomal RNA". It matches the Rfam family "Bacterial small subunit ribosomal RNA", at positions 29 to 523 of the family's 1533-position model. The record is from RNAcentral.
AACGAACGCUGGUGGCAGGCUUAACACAUGCAAGUCGAACGCCCCGCAAGGGGAGUGGCAGACGGGUGAGUAACGCGUGGGAAUCUACCCAUCUCUGCAGAAUAGCUCCGGGAAACUGGAAUUAAUACCGCAUACGCCCUACGGGGGAAAGAUUUAUCGGGGAUGGAUGAGCCCGCGUUGGAUUAGCUAGUUGGUGGGGUAAAGGCCUACCAAGGCGACGAUCCAUAGCUGGUCUGAGAGGAUGAUCAGCCACAUUGGGACUGAGACACGGCCCAAACUCCUACGGGAGGCAGCAGUGGGGAAUAUUGGACAAUGGGCGCAAGCCUGAUCCAGCCAUGCCGCGUGAGUGAUGAAGGCCUUAGGGUUGUAAAGCUCUUUCACCGGUGAAGAUAAUGACGGUAACCGGAGAAGAAGCCCCGGCUAACUUCGUGCCAGCCGCCGCGGUAA